RNAcentral lists this ribosomal RNA (1690 nucleotides) under Casaltella massiliensis. Its description in RNAcentral is "bacterial LSU rRNA". It matches the Rfam family "Bacterial large subunit ribosomal RNA", at positions 1208 to 2925 of the family's 2925-position model. The record is from RNAcentral. RNAcentral also lists the same sequence under 1 other name. Lineage: Bacteria; Bacillati; Bacillota; Clostridia; Peptostreptococcales; Anaerovoracaceae.
UUUUAAACCCUCUAUCAGUGGUAGAGGAGCAUUGUAUUAGGGAAGAAGCCUAAGCGAAAGCAAGCGUGGACUUAAUACAAGAGAGAAUGCUGGCAUGAGUAGCGAGAAGGAGUGUGAGAAUCACUCCCGUCGAAACCCUAAGGACUCCUGAGCAAGGCUCGUCCCCUCAGGGAAAGUCGGGACCUAAGGCGAGGCCGAAAGGCGUAGUCGAUGGCCAACAGGUCUAUAUUCCUGUACCGCUCAAAGUCGCUAAAGAGACGUGAUAACGCAAGAGGAUAAGCUAGCUGCCCGAUGGAUGGCAGUCUAAAUGCAAAGCCUAGUGUGUAGGCAAAUCCGCACACUACAAGGGUAAUGCAUGAUAGGCAUCGAAAACAUGAGUAGAGAAAUAGCCCAUUUCAAAUUGCCAAGAAAAGUCACUAUCAAUGACAAGAGCGCCCGUACCAAAACCGACACAGGUAGGGAGGUAGAGAAUACCAAGACGCGCGGAAGAACCUUUGUUAAGGAACUCGGCAAAAUGUCCCCGUAACUUCGGGAGAAGGGGAGCCAUAGCGAUAUGGCCACAGAAACCAGGCCCAAGCGACUGUUUACCAAAAACACAAGUUUCUGCAAAAUCGUAAGAUGAAGUAUAGGAGCUGACACCUGCCCGGUGCUGGAAGGUUAAGGGGAAGGCUUAGCGUAAAGCGAAGGCUAGAACUUAAGCCCCAGUAAACGGCGGCCGUAACUAUAACGGUCCUAAGGUAGCGAAAUUCCUUGUCGGGUAAGUUCCGACCCGCACGAAAGGUGUAACGAUUUGGGCACUGUCUCAACAAAGGAUCCGGUGAAAUUGUAGUAGUCGUGAAGAUGCGACUUACCCACGCUAGGACGGAAAGACCCCGUGGAGCUUUACUGUAGGCUGAUAUUGGAUUUUGAGAUUAGAUGUACAGGAUAGUUGGGAGGCAAAGAAACAUGUACGCCAGUAUGUGUAGAGCCAGUGUUGGGAUACCAACCUUCUAAUAUCAGAAUUCUAACUUUGACCCUUAAUCAGGGCAAAGGACAUUGUCAGUUGGGCAGUUUGACUGGGGCGGUCGCCUCCUAAAAAGUAACGGAGGCGUUCAAAGGUUCGCUCAGAAUGGACGGAAACCAUUCGAAGAGUACAAAGGCACAAGCGAGCUUAACUGCGAGAGAUACAGCUCAAGCAGAGUAGAAAUACGGACUUAGUGAUCCGGUGGCACCGCAUGGAAGGGCCAUCGCUCAACGGAUAAAAGCUACCCCGGGGAUAACAGGCUUAUCUCCCCCAAGAGUCCACAUCGACGGGGAGGUUUGGCACCUCGAUGUCGGCUCGUCUCAUCCUGGGGCUGAAGUAGGUCCCAAGGGUUGGGCUGUUCGCCCAUUAAAGAGGCACGCGAGCUGGGUUCAGAACGUCGUGAGACAGUUCGGUCCCUAUCCAGCGUGGGCGUAAGAAAUUUGCGAGGACCUGUCCUUAGUACGAGAGGACCGGGAUGGACAUACCACUGGUGUAUGAGUUGUUCCGCCAGGAGCAUAGCUCAGUAGCUAAGUAUGGAAUUGAUAAGUACUGAAAGCAUCUAAGUACGAAGCAACCCUCAAGAUAAGAUUUCUAAGAGUACGUAAAGAAAAUACGUUUGAUAGGUCCAAGGUGUAAGUGCAGUAAUGUAUUAAGCUAAUGGAUACUAAACUUUAUAUACUUGACUGG